Molecule: non-coding RNA, 75 nt
Organism: Podarcis lilfordi (Lilford's wall lizard)
Lineage: Eukaryota; Metazoa; Chordata; Lepidosauria; Squamata; Lacertidae
Source: the annotation of a GenBank genome assembly
GAACACAGCUCAGCGGUUAAGAGCAUCUGCUUGGUGCGCAGAGGUUCCCAGGCUCCAUUCCUGAUGGUGUCUCCA